RNAcentral lists this long non-coding RNA (437 nucleotides) under Ananas comosus (pineapple). RNAcentral's name for it is "long non-coding RNA (ACOM_LNC007065)". Lineage: Eukaryota; Viridiplantae; Streptophyta; Magnoliopsida; Poales; Bromeliaceae. The record is from RNAcentral.
CCAAAACCGACUACCGUAACUCGUCGGAAGUCCCGAAAAUCGCACCGGGACUCCGUCGGAACCCACGAACUGUCCCGAAAUGUUCCGACUCAGGAUACGAGUCACCCGUUGCCACAAAACACACCAAUUUGGAUGUCUUGGCAGCAAACACAAGUUAACACAACUACACAAUUAUCGCCGGAUAAUUGUACGAACUCGGGUUCCCGAAAGUGUCAAAUUCGACACCGGAACCCACCGUCGCUCACUCGUCAUUUCUGAACUCUCGAAAUGACGCAAGUGACCAGCAAACAAGGCUCGGCGACUACACAAUAGCUCACGAAGCACCGUCGGAAUAAUUCCGAACCGAACCCGCGUUCUAUCGGCGGAUUUCGCCGAAAAACGCAUCGAAAAUCACUUUUCGAUUUCCGCAAGGGCUUGGGGCCUUGGACGAUCAGUCC